This 296-nucleotide ribosomal RNA is filed under the name Pseudo-nitzschia fraudulenta. RNAcentral's name for it is "partial Bacterial small subunit ribosomal RNA". It matches the Rfam family "Bacterial small subunit ribosomal RNA", at positions 1237 to 1532 of the family's 1533-position model. Lineage: Eukaryota; Bacillariophyta; Bacillariophyceae; Bacillariales; Bacillariaceae. The record is from RNAcentral.
GUACAGAGGGCUGCAAACCCGCGAGGGGGAGCUAAUCUCACAAAACGCAUCGUAGUCCGGAUCGGAGUCUGCAACUCGACUCCGUGAAGUCGGAAUCGCUAGUAAUCGCGGAUCAGAAUGCCGCGGUGAAUACGUUCCCGGGCCUUGUACACACCGCCCGUCACACCAUGGGAGUUGGGUUUACCCGAAGGCAGUGCGCUAACCGCAAGGGGGCAGCUGACCACGGUAGGCUCAGCGACUGGGGUGAAGUCGUAACAAGGUAGCCCUAGGGGAACCUGCGGCUGGAUCACCUCCUU